Molecule: ribosomal RNA, 240 nt
Filed under: Planktomarina temperata
Lineage: Bacteria; Pseudomonadati; Pseudomonadota; Alphaproteobacteria; Rhodobacterales; Paracoccaceae
Description: partial 23S ribosomal RNA
Rfam family: Bacterial large subunit ribosomal RNA
Source: RNAcentral
GUUGCCCCUAGUACGAGAGGACCGGGGUGAACGAUCCACUGGUGGACCAGUUGUCGACUACGGCAGUGCUGGGUAGCUAUGAUCGGACAGGAUAACCGCUGAAAGCAUCUAAGCGGGAAGCCCCCCUCAAAACAAGGUAUCCCUGAGGACCGAGGUAGACCACCUCGUCGAUAGGCCAGAGGUGUAAGCGUGGUAACACGUUCAGCUGACUGGUACUAAUGGUCCGAUAGGCUUGAUUUG